This 398-nucleotide ribosomal RNA is filed under the name uncultured organism. RNAcentral describes it as "bacterial SSU rRNA". It matches the Rfam family "Bacterial small subunit ribosomal RNA", at positions 45 to 433 of the family's 1533-position model. The record is from RNAcentral.
UGCAUAACACAUGCAAGUCGAGCGGAGUAUCUGCGAUUACAUCAAGGGUACUUAGCGGCAGACGAGUGAGUAACACGUAAGAAAUCUACCCCGGAGCGGGGAAUAACCAGCCGAAAGGUUGGCUAAUACCCCGUACGACCCAGGAGGGACAUCCCUCUUGGAUGAAAGGCCCGCAAGGGUCGCUCUGGGAGGAUCUUGCGGCCUAUCAGCUAGUUGGCGGUGUAACGGACCACCAAGGCGACGACGGGUAGCCGGCCUGAAAGGGCGAUCGGCCACGGAGGCACUGAGACACGGGCCUCACUUCUACGGAAGGCAGCAGUGGGGAAUUUUGGACAAUGGGCGAAAGCCUGAUCCAGCAACGCUGCGUGGGGGACGAAGGUCUUCGGAUUGUAAACCCC